This 3102-nucleotide long non-coding RNA is filed under the name Marmota monax (woodchuck). The record is from RNAcentral. Lineage: Eukaryota; Metazoa; Chordata; Mammalia; Rodentia; Sciuridae.
GAAGCAUUCAAUUUUUAUUCCAUGUGAUUAAGGGUCUUUAUUUAUUUUCUAUUAAUGAAGGGAUAUUUUAUGCAAGAGCGGAUGGGAUGCUCAGGGGAGAACUAACAACCUUUUGUGAAAUUUGAUCCAUGCCUUGAAAUCAGGCCAAAGGAAGCACUGCACAUUGUCUACACCAAGGUGCUCAAAAUGUACAGGACAUUAGAACAGUAAAGAGAUCACAGUGAUAACUAAUGACCUUCAUCAUUUACACAGAAGCACAAAUGACCAAUAUGGAUCUCCUUUCUCAAAAAAAGGGCAGAUAAUGUUUGUCCCUGUGUUAGUCAACUUUUUCUUACUACGAUACCAGUACCUGACAAGGACAAUUUAGAGGAAGAAAACUUUCUUUUGGCUCAAGGUUCCAGAGGUUCAGUCCAUGGUGUUGUACUCUAUUGGUCUGGGCCAAAGGUAAGGCAGAACAUCAUGGAGGAGGGGCACGGUAGAAAAGAACUGUUCCACUAAUGGUGACCAGGAAGCAGCUAUUAUGACUGAAAAAGUGUCAUAAGGAAGAUGAAUCUUUCCACCACAUGCUCCAGUGAUCUAACUCCUCCAGACAAAUACCACCUGCCCACAGUUACUAUCUAGUUAGUCUAUUCAAACUAGGAUGGACUGAUUAGGUCACAGCUCAAGUAAUCUAAUCAUUUCACAUCUGAGUAUUCCUGCAUUAACACAAGAGUUUUAGGGGACACCUCAUAUCCAAACAAUAACAGAUUUUAUAAAUUUUCGAGAUCAAAUAAGACCCUUAGGCUGUAAUUUGAAUGAGAACAAUGGGAGUUGGUGUCUGAUAUAGCACCUUAAAUUGAGUCAACACCUGAAUUUGGAUGGGGAGCAAAGUGGAAAAAAAUAAAAAUUACAAAUGCCUUACUACUCAAAGUUUGGCUUAUCAACUGGUUAAAGUUGUAUUUUCAUAUAAUCAAGUCUGUAAACUUUUCUGAGUCUAUCAUUUUGGGAAAAAAAAAUGUUACUUUGAAGCAAAUUGUUUUCUAUUUUUUUUUCCCAAUAGUUGUUUCCGGGAAUUAGAUUUUUGUAACCAUGGUACACUUUCCUCCUAUGGUGAAUCAUUUGAACACGCAACUACACAAGGGGUUCUGCCUUAGACUCAUGAGUUCUGAUUGGUGUUGGCAGCUGUGUAUUUUAAGGGAGCAGAUCAAUACCUAUAGACUAACUGGCUUAGCUGAAAUUACUGUUAACUGCCAACUUUGUCUUCUUUAAGAAAAAAAAAAAAGGAUUUUCUUCCCAACAAAGACUCUUUAUAAAAGUAAUAAGGUAAUGGCAUGAAGUGUGCUUACCAUGCUGUAAUCACACCCCGGGGGGAAUGAGAGGUGCGCCACUGCACCUUUUGCUUUGUAAUGACCCAGGGGUGUGAUUAUCAUAUGACAGCCACACUCCCUGUCAUGCCUUAUUGCUUAUAUAUUCCACAUGUCAUAAUGAAUCCUGAAGCACUUUCUAGGUCUCAUAGCAAAGGCAAUGACUUUGAAGUACAGGAAGUUGCCAGAUUUUCCAGGUACACAUAGAUUAACACUGUAUACAUUAGGGGCAAUCAUGAAUGACUAUUUUUAAGUGCCAACCAAGACACACUUAUUGGGGAACUUUUUUCUUGGUUAAAAAUCUUUCUUUGGCUAACUUUUAACUUUUUUAAUCCUCUGUUCUAAUUUUGAUGACUGUUAAAUUAUUCUGUUUCUGUACAGUACAUUAUACUCCUCCAAAACCAUCUGGGAAAUAACAUCGAUGACAUAAUUAUCUUGCAGUUAUCUGAUGUGAUGUUUUACUACAAAAAUUGGAGAAUGAUGAGUUCUCCAACACAAAAAUUAGUUUCAUUUUAUUUUAAAUGCCCAUUAUUUAUGAAUACUGACCAUUGUGGCUACAGAUUUCUACAUCUUCAGGUGUAAUAUUUGAGGGAGGGACAUUGAGAAAACAUUCAAAUUUAUUCCAUGUGAAUUAGGGUCUUAGAUUUUUUUUUUUCCUCAGAUGUUAGAGUUGCUACAUUAGCUCUAGUUAUAGUGUUGAUUUUAUGUUAUUUGGAUGUAGCAAUUUAGCUUUGAGAUUCUUCAUUGCAACUGUUAAUAUAUUCAAAUUAAAAUGUGUAGGGUUAAUAGUAGACCUAUAGGGAAGGAGAGAGAUCAAGAAUAAGAGAUUUCUGAAUCUAGCAUGAAGUUUUAAUAUAAUAAGACAACAAGGCAAUAAACUAAGCAGUUAUUUUUGAUGCAACUUGCAUGAUUAUCAUACCACAGAAUGAAUCUGCACCUCAGGGAGAGGUUUCUAAGUAAUUUUGCAACCUUCAAAAUGUACAGAGCAGACAACACUUAAGUCCUACUGGCUCUUGCAGAGAAAAAUCUGCAGUGCUCUCUUUAUCCUGUCAUUGUAACCCAGGUGAUGAAGAUGGUGGCCUUUCACGCUGAUGAGUUGAUUCAAUGUCAGUGUCAACCUCAGGAUCAACCAUGUUAACCUUAGGUCAUUUCAAGGAAAACUGUGUGCCCAAAGUGACGAUUAUUUAGCUGCCUACUGCAUAAGUGGAGAUUCUUCUGAUUACCAUAAAGGUCAAAUAUGCACACUCUGACUGGUGGUAAUGAGUAGUUUUAAAGAUGUUUUAGCCUUUUCUUAAUCUUGCAUUGUCACCAAGGCUUCUAUUGUUAUGCACCAAGGAAUGUGCUUCUAAUUGUACCAUUUGCCCUUAUUGUAGCUUGUACAUAGAGCCAGUAGUGUGAUGUUACUUAUGUAACCACCCACCACAUGUCCUAAUAAUUAUUAGCUUUCAAUAAAAUGUAUAAUAAGGUAACUAGAGUCUGGAAAAACCCAAGGUUCUUAAAAGUUGAAAGCAAUAUUUAAGAAGCUUGUGUAUCAAGUUCUGAUAAGAGUGGAGAACAAAAUAGGGUAUAAAAAUAGUUUUUAAGGUAUGAUUUUUUUUUUUUUAAAUUAAGAGGUACCUUAGGAGACUCCAAAUACUAGACAUGUGUGUAUGUGUGAAUGCAGAAGUAUUUGUACAUAUAUAUUCCCAUAUAUGUAAAAUAUACUUGUAUAUGUGUUUAUGUUGUGUUUACAUUUUUUAUUAUUUAAAAUUCACCUUAG